Kogia breviceps (pygmy sperm whale) is the source of this 997-nucleotide non-coding RNA. Lineage: Eukaryota; Metazoa; Chordata; Mammalia; Artiodactyla; Physeteridae. The record is from RefSeq and is a predicted model, not a curated record.
GCUCGGGGGCGCGCACGCUCUGCGUGCCAGGCGUUCGGGACUGUACCUGGCGCGGCCCGAAGGCCUGCAGUUUGGCCUGCUAUGUUCGUCUCCGCGGCGCUCCGGGCCCGUGCGGCCGGCUUCGCCGCCCAGUGGGGAAGACAUGUAAGGAAUUUGCAUAAGACAGCUGUGCAGAAUGGAGUUGGAGGAACCUUAUUUGUGCACAGAGAUACUCCUGAGAAUAACCCAGAUACUCCAUUUGAUUUCACACCGGAAAACUAUAAGAGGAUAGAGGCAAUUGUAAAAAACUACCCAGAAGGGCAUAAAGCAGCAGCUGUGCUUCCAGUCCUGGAUUUAGCCCAAAGACAGAAUGGAUGGCUGCCCAUCUCUGCUAUGAACAAGGUUGCAGAAGUUUUACAAGUACCUCCAAUGAGAGUAUAUGAAGUAGCAACUUUUUAUACAAUGUAUAAUCGAAAGCCAGUUGGAAAGUAUCAUGUUCAAGUCUGCACUACUACGCCUUGCAUGCUUCGUAACUCCGACAGCAUACUGGAGGCCAUUCAGAAAAAGCUUGGAAUAAAGGUUGGAGAGACUACACCUGACAAACUUUUCACUCUUAUAGAAGUGGAAUGUUUAGGGGCCUGUGUAAACGCACCGAUGGUUCAAAUAAAUGACAACUACUAUGAGGAUCUGACACCUAAGGAUAUUGAAGAAAUUAUUGAUAAACUCAAGGCUGGCAAAAUCCCAAAACCUGGGCCAAGGGCUCUAAAAAUAGACUUAUAAGAUUGAUAGAAUGUGAAGGGCAAAGCCGGAGGGAAUAAAAUGAUUUAAUUGAAUAAGUUCUUCAGCUGAAAUCUGUGGCAGGAACAAGGAGUGGACGCUUCUCAUGUGAGCCAGCUGGAGGUCUUACCUCUUUGACUGAACCACCUAAAGGACCUGGCUUUGGUGUGCAAGCAGGCCUUUAAUUUAUAUUCAAAUGUAAAUAUGUCACUGGAGAAAUAAAAUACGAAUCUCCUAUCUA